This 687-nucleotide long non-coding RNA is filed under the name Olea europaea subsp. europaea. The record is from RNAcentral. Lineage: Eukaryota; Viridiplantae; Streptophyta; Magnoliopsida; Lamiales; Oleaceae.
GUCCAUUCUCCUUACCUCUAUUUCUCCUCUCUCACAGCGGCUAUUAAUCCUAAUCCACUCAACCUCUUCAUUUUUCCUUUCUUUGGUAUGUAUCUUAGAUGUCUUGUGAAAUUGAAAAGAAGAUGGGUGAUGUUGAAGGUAUUUUCUUGUUUAAUUUGCAAUUUAUCGAUUUCUUUUUUAAUUGAAAAUCUUGCUCUGUGGUUCCAUGCUUUUUCAUCUCCAUUUAAAUGGAGCCUUUAGUCUCAAUGGUAGCUGGUAGUUGUCCUUGCAGACAUAUGCAGGUGAUUUUCAGUAUGUUGAAGGCUACUAAAGGUUUGGACGAGGAUACAAUUCCUGUUGAUUUUGGCCUGUGUGAGGUUAAUUGAUUUCUCAUAUUCGUUAUCAGUAUAAAUUUGUGUAAUUUACUAAUCGAUUUCUUUUUUAAUUGAAAAUCUGGCUCUUGAGUUCCCUACUUUUUCAUCUCCAUUAAAAUUGUGUCUUUAGUCUCAAUGGUAGCAGGUUGUUGCCUCUACAGACGGAUGCUGAUGAUUGCCUCCAUUUCAUUUAGACAAGGUCGUUUAAGUUUGAAGUCGAUUCAGGUACAAUCACCCCAAGAAAAGGGCUGAGGUAUUAUUGUAUUUUUAGCAAUGGCCUUGUUAGUUUUUUAUUCUAAUUUUUGUUGGAAAUUUACUUAAUCAUGCACGGCAG